Molecule: non-coding RNA, 25 nt
Filed under: Ophiophagus hannah (king cobra)
Lineage: Eukaryota; Metazoa; Chordata; Lepidosauria; Squamata; Elapidae
Also listed under: 2 other names
Gene: oha-miR-122-5p
Source: miRBase by way of RNAcentral
UGGAGUGUGACAAUGGUGUUUGUAU